UGCGUAGGUGGUUAUUUAAGUCCGUUGUGAAAGCCCUGGGCUCAACCUGGGAACUGCAGUGGAUACUGGAUGACUAGAAUGUGGUAGAGGGUAGCGGAAUUCCUGGUGUAGCAGUGAAAUGCGUAGAGAUCAGGAGGAACAUCCAUGGCGAAGGCAGCUACCUGGACCAACAUUGACACUGAGGCACGAAAGCGUGGGAGCAAACA
This 206-nucleotide ribosomal RNA is filed under the name uncultured bacterium. RNAcentral describes it as "partial 16S ribosomal RNA". It matches the Rfam family "Bacterial small subunit ribosomal RNA", at positions 568 to 774 of the family's 1533-position model. The record is from RNAcentral.